Molecule: ribosomal RNA, 831 nt
Filed under: Nocardioidaceae bacterium MOLA 1521
Lineage: Bacteria; Bacillati; Actinomycetota; Actinomycetes; Propionibacteriales; Nocardioidaceae
Also listed under: 1 other name
Description: bacterial SSU rRNA
Rfam family: Bacterial small subunit ribosomal RNA
Source: RNAcentral
AUGGCUCAGGACGAACGCUGGCGGCGUGCUUAACACAUGCAAGUCGAGCGGUAAGGCUCCUUCGGGAGUACACGAGCGGCGAACGGGUGAGUAACACGUGAGCAAUCUGCCCUUCACUCUGGGAUAAGCCUGGGAAACUGGGUCUAAUACCGGAUAUGACUUCGGAAUGCAUGUUCUGGAGUGGAAAGUUCUGGCGGUGAAGGAUGAGCUCGCGGCCUAUCAGCUUGUUGGUGGGGUAAUGGCCUACCAAGGCGACGACGGGUAGCCGGCCUGAGAGGGUGACCGGCCACACUGGGACUGAGACACGGCCCAGACUCCUACGGGAGGCAGCAGUGGGGAAUAUUGGACAAUGGGCGAAAGCCUGAUCCAGCAACGCCGCGUGAGGGAUGACGGCCUUCGGGUUGUAAACCUCUUUCAGCAGGGACGAAGCGCAAGUGACGGUACCUGCAGAAGAAGCACCGGCCAACUACGUGCCAGCAGCCGCGGUAAUACGUAGGGUGCGAGCGUUGUCCGGAAUUAUUGGGCGUAAAGGGCUCGUAGGCGGUUUGUCGCGUCGGGAGUGAAAACUCAGGGCUCAACCCUGUUCGUGCUUCCGAUACGGGCAAACUAGAGGUAGGCAGGGGAGAACGGAAUUCCUGGUGUAGCGGUGGAAUGCGCAGAUAUCAGGAGGAACACCGGUGGCGAAGGCGGUUCUCUGGGCCUAUUCUGACGCUGAGGAGCGAAAGCAUGGGGAGCGAACAGGAUUAGAUACCCUGGUAGUCCAUGCCGUAAACGUUGGGCGCUAGGUGUGGGGCUCGUUCCACGAGUUCCGUGCCGCAGCUAACGCAUUAA